This 413-nucleotide long non-coding RNA is filed under the name Ricinus communis (castor bean). Its description in RNAcentral is "long non-coding RNA (RCOM_LNC003579)". Lineage: Eukaryota; Viridiplantae; Streptophyta; Magnoliopsida; Malpighiales; Euphorbiaceae. The record is from RNAcentral.
GCUUAUAAAACCCUUCUUGGUUGGGGCUUGGAUUCGGUCGACGAUGCACGUUUCUUUCGGUAAUCCUUAAACUCUUCGCACCCAGCGGUGGGGGCAGCUGUUUCAUUCGGUGUUUCGGCAAUGCUUGACGGGCAUAACAUGCUUGUUGGGGGUUGUAGUUCGCUGAUUGGAAUUGUUGCUCAUUGUACGUGGUGGUGCAUGAGUCGUAUCACGAUCGUUCGGGUAGGCAGGCUCCGUGCUCGCGCAUCGAAUUGCUUCCCCGCGAUCCUUUCAGUCCUAGCCCAAGUGAAUGUUUUGUAAGUGGGCAAAUGUCGGGUUCCUGUGUUGCAUACCCACACUAGUGGAAUUCAAUGAUGUUGCUGUCCCAUAUUUCGCCUUUGUGCCUCCUUUGGGGCAUCGGGUGAACAUUGUAG